UUGUAGUUUCUGACACUUUGCAUGUUUAGCAUGAGGCUAAAAUUCCCCCUCAGUGGGUCACUGGUGACCUGCUGGAUGUUCAGAGGUUCAUUAAAUCCAACAUGACUAAAAACUCAAAUGUCAAAGGAAAUAAACAAAAUAUUUAAAGUCAAUCAUUCUGAUCAUAAUUGUACUUUGACCUUUAACCUCUCUGCUCUGUGUUGUUUCCUCUUUCAGAUCCAAAAAUCCUCAAGUCUGAGCCUGGAGCUGAGGUCACUCUGACAUGUCGAGCUGCAAACAACAACAUCAGAGUUUUAAAGUGGAGCAGAGACCUUAUGCCAGAAUAUGUGCUUUUGUACCAACAUGGGCGUCUUGAUUCAACCAACCAGCAUCCAUCUUUUAAGAACCGGGUGGAUCUGCAGGACAGACAGAUGAAGGAUGGAGACGUGUCUUUGAUUCUGAGGAAUGUGACGACUGAUGACACUGGAACAUACAAGUGUCGUGUCUUCAUGAGUGAAACUCGCUCAUGGGAGGUCAUCAGCAGCAUCUACCUUAUUGUUGAUCCUCCAGGUACACUAGGAGGAUAUGAGGCACAAAUGGUUGAUCUAAUAGUUUGUCUAGGAAUUGUUCUUCUUCUUCUUCUUCUUCUUUUUCUGACCUUAAAAAAAAUACAAAACCACUGGAUAAUACAGAGGAGAAAACGUCGCAAGCAGUGUCGAAAGCUGAAAUCUAAGUCUCCACUACACCACUAGUCUCCAUUCUACAACUGUUAAUGAUCCAGAGGUUGGACAGCCUCUUUCCACAACACCACCAAACAGUGACUUAGAUGAUUUGAAGAUGAAUUAGAACUUUCCUGAACAUCCAUCCUUCAGACAACUGUAGACGUCGAACUUAUCAAGAUUUACAAACUGUUAUAGUCUCAGGUAUUUCUCUCUCUCUGAUCCUGCACUGAAACGUUUUACAACCUCUUCAACUUUUCUUCAACCUGACACACUGUUCAGGUCAGAUUUAAACUGCUUUGACCUUUGACACCACUAAAAACACCCUGAUCUACUUUGUUAGGCUGAAACCUGAUGACCUUUCCUAAACUGACCUAUAACACACAUUAAAAUGUUUUAAUACUCAAAAAUGAAAAUAUUUAAAUAUUUUAUACUGUUGAACAGGUGAUACUUAUUUUUGUACACUGAUGCUGUUUUGGGACAGUUUUAAUCGUAUCUGUUCAGUUUCAGAUCCACCAGUUUGGCUCAAAUUAAGGAACACUGUGAUUUUAGGAAAAUUUGACACUGUGAAUAUCAUCUUUGUGUGUGUGUUUUUAAUGAGACAGUAGCAUCAGAGGUCAAAGAGCACCUUGAUUCAGCCAUGACUGUGAUGUGUGUGUUCACAGCACAUUCGUCCUGCUGCCCACAGAAACUCCUGCAGUGAAUUAGUAAAAUAAUACAUAGAGCACAUGAUGAACAGAGGUCAUACAUGUCUGACUCCACAGUUGCUGAAGUGGAUUCUGGGUCUCUGACUUCCUCCCACAGUUCAAAGACAUUAACGGGUAUUUCUUAUUUAUCCGUGUAUGCUGUGUUAAUGUGUGGUUCAUACAGAACUAUAUGGUCGGUAACACUAACAUAUGAGCAUGAGUACAUCACAUUAGCACAUGAAAGAACAACAGUGUGGCAUUAAUAUUACAGCAGUGAGGACAGUUUGAUGAACUGAUGCUCUGUUCUCUGGUCUGACCAAAGCUUUAACUCCAAACAUCUCUCCACUGUUAGAGCUUCUGCACUGUUUCAGGUUCGGUUCAAAUCAUGGUUCAUAUUUUUAUGGCCUGACUGUGUGAAGCCUCCACCUACAUCACUGAACUGCUCCAUCCUGCUCGACUUGUGUACUCUGAACUCAGUGGCCUUCUUUAAACAGCUUCUUGGUGUUUGAGUUGUUUUGCUCAAUUCAUGUGUAUCCACUGUAACAUUAUAAACACUAUUUUUAUGUCUCUGUAAA
Pundamilia nyererei is the source of this 1959-nucleotide long non-coding RNA. RefSeq lists it as uncharacterized. NCBI's taxonomy places the organism in Eukaryota, Metazoa, Chordata, Actinopteri, Cichliformes, Cichlidae. The transcript has 3 exons. The record is from RefSeq and is a predicted model, not a curated record.